GGAGAGGUGCCGGAGUGGACGAACGGGGUGGUCUCGAAAACCACUGUACUGCAAAGUACCCAGGGUUCGAAUCCCUGCCUCUCCGCCA
This 88-nucleotide transfer RNA is filed under the name Victivallales bacterium. Its description in RNAcentral is "tRNA-Ser". It matches the Rfam family "tRNA". From Rfam's summary of the family: Transfer RNA (tRNA) molecules are approximately 80 nucleotides in length. Their secondary structure includes four short double-helical elements and three loops (D, anti-codon, and T loops). Lineage: Bacteria; Pseudomonadati; Lentisphaerota; Lentisphaeria; Victivallales. The record is from RNAcentral.